GAACUGGUUUAGCUCAGUGGUUACUUCCUACAAAAAUCUCUUCUGAUUUCCUGUACUAUCCCUUCCCGGGAUCCAACCACGGGUGCUGUCCAGUGUAUUU
This is a vault RNA of 100 nucleotides. Its record names the gene Vault. It matches the Rfam family "Vault RNA". Rfam says of the family: This family of RNAs are found as part of the enigmatic vault ribonucleoprotein complex. The complex consists of a major vault protein (MVP), two minor vault proteins (VPARP and TEP1), and several small untranslated RNA molecules. The record is from Ensembl.